This 237-nucleotide ribosomal RNA is filed under the name uncultured bacterium. Its description in RNAcentral is "partial 16S ribosomal RNA". It matches the Rfam family "Bacterial small subunit ribosomal RNA", at positions 96 to 334 of the family's 1533-position model. The record is from RNAcentral.
CGGCGGACGGGUGAGUAACGCGUGGGUAACCUGCCUCAUACAGGGGGAUAACAGUUGGAAACGGCUGCAAUACCGCAUAAGCGCACAGUACCGCAUGGUACGGUGUGAAAAACUCCGGUGGUAUGAGAUGGACCCGCGUCUGAUUAGGUAGUUGGUGGGGUAACGGCCUACCAAGCCGACGAUCAGUAGCCGACCUGAGAGGGUGACCGGCCACAUUGGGACUGAGACACGGCCCAA